AUCCAUGGCAAUUGCACUAACAAGCUGAGAUACACCCAGGUGUCUGGAUUAUGUUUGCAGCAGAUUCAGCCUUGUGCAGCAGGCCCAGGAUGUGCUAACUGUUGUGAGUCAAGCCAGAUAUGUAAAAGUUGAUGACU
This 137-nucleotide long non-coding RNA is filed under the name Lonchura striata (white-rumped munia). RNAcentral's name for it is "domestica (Bengalese finch) lncRNA (ENSLSDG00000006069.1)". The record is from RNAcentral. Lineage: Eukaryota; Metazoa; Chordata; Aves; Passeriformes; Estrildidae.